AAACGAUGAGAGAAAAGAAUUGGGGAACGACGUCCCCUGUUCUUCUUUGUUCAUUGUUGUAAUUCAUUUCUCACCUUCUUCUUCGUUCCUCUUAUCCUAGUCAUUUAGUUGAUAAAAAAUCUGAAAUUUCGUUAUAAAUCUUGAGAAACAGUCAAUUGCUUUCGUAUAUCUCAAUAUUGAAAAAGAUAAUUUCAAAACGGUAUCUAAGGUGCUUACGGCUACAAAGGAUGGACGAUCGAUUUGAACUUAAUCGAUUAAAAAGGGAGGUGUUUUGGGAUUUUGAUAAUUCCUAAAACCAAUCGAUCAUCUGGAAAUUGGCUCACUGAUUUAACCUGUGAGGUGCGUUUUGUUCAUCUUUCGGAGGAAACAACUGCUGGAUACAUAAACUUUCGAGCAACCUAUGGAAGGCUCUUUCAUUGUGUUGAAGAUAAACUACAAUUAGAUAAGUAUUUUGAUCCUUGGGAAAAUUAAUAUUAACAGGAAGUGAUUGCUUAAGCCUAUUUAAAUGCUAAGUGGCUUUUUGUUAUAUCUUUGUAGGUGACCUGAAAACAUCAUAUAAUUACCGAAAACAAAGGCUGGGAACUUUCUUCAUCGUACAGAGGAGUAACUUCAUUUCAGAAGGUUUUUAGUAUUACCUUUUGGAGGAUUGUUUGGCGUCUGUCUUCUCAUAAAGUGAGGUAUUAAAUAUUACCUUUGGAAGAAUUGUCUUGCGUCUGCCUUCUCAUAAAGUGAGAUCAUCAAUAAGAUGGUUUGUUCCAACUGGAGUGUAGUAUUGUCGUAUAUCCAUGGCAGCCAGAUUAGAGUUACCCUCUGCACAACAGGUGACUGGACCUAAGGUACGAAGGAUACAUUAGUAAAUGAUUGUGGACUAAAAAAGAAAACAGCAUCUUGAACAGGUAGAUUCAGAGAUUAAGCAAGGUUGAGCUUUAUUUGAAAAAAAUUACAACGAUUAAAGGAGCCAUUGUUGUUUUUUCAACAAACAGAAGAUGCACGGGAUGAAGAGUGUAUGGAUUCGACCUUGGAGUUACAACAAUUUUGAAGAAGUUCAAGAGAUACCAUUAGCCUUCCUUGAGCCUCCUUGCUUCCUCCAUCCUUCCCUGCACCAGCCUUCUUUGCCGCAGCCAGAAUCUCCGCCUUUGUGAGCUUCUCCUUUUUGAUGUUAACAACGUUGAUGUGGUCCAAACAAAGUUUCUUAGUAGCUGAAGAUGUAUCAACAGGAACAUCUGUAUCACCGCUUGAUCUCUUAGAAGAAGGAUUUGAAGAUUCAGAAACAUCUUCACUACUUGUGGAUUAUCUCUACCAUUGGACAGGUCAGUACCAUCAUCAUCGAGAACUCCAUCUUUAGAAAGCACUUUUGAAACCUUGUAGGUAUCCCAGUCAUUCCACAAGUUGUCAUGAUGAAUACUCACCAGAAAUUUAUAGGUUUUUCCAACCAAAUCUUUGAUGUCUUGUGGCAAAUUUUCUGGAUCUUCCAUCUGUAAUAGUUUAGAUUAAUAUAUUAGUAUAUAAUUUUAGAUUUAUUUUAAAUAUAUUCUUUGAAACUAA
Non-coding RNA from Camelina sativa (false flax), 1545 nucleotides. The record is from RefSeq and is a predicted model, not a curated record. Lineage: Eukaryota; Viridiplantae; Streptophyta; Magnoliopsida; Brassicales; Brassicaceae.